GACGAACGCUGGCGGCGUGCUUAACACAUGCAAGUCGAACGGAAAGGCCCUGCUUGCAGGGUGCUCGAGUGGCGAACGGGUGAGUAACACGUGGGUGAUCUGCCCCUUACUUUGGGAUAAGCCUGGGAAACUGGGUCUAAUACUGGAUAGGACCAUGCUGUAGGUGGUGUGGUGGAAAGAUUAGUUUCGGUAAGGGAUGAGCUCGCGGCCUAUCAGCUUGUUGGUGGGGUAAUGGCCUACCAAGGCGUCGACGGGUAGCCGGCCUGAGAGGGUGGACGGCCACAUUGGGACUGAGAUACGGCCCAGACUCCUACGGGAGGCAGCAGUGGGGAGUAUUGCACAAUGGGCGCAAGCCUGAUGCAGCGACGCCGCGUGGGGGAUGACGGCCUUCGGGUUGUAAACUCCUUUCAGCCAUGACGAAGCCCUUGUGGUGACGGUAGUGGUAGAAGAAGCACCGGCUAACUACGUG
This 469-nucleotide ribosomal RNA is filed under the name uncultured bacterium. RNAcentral describes it as "partial 16S ribosomal RNA". It matches the Rfam family "Bacterial small subunit ribosomal RNA", at positions 28 to 507 of the family's 1533-position model. The record is from RNAcentral.